GCUCGCCGGGUUGACCGUGCUCCUGCAGAGACAGGUUCUACGGAGUGGCCCCAACUCGGAUGCCUCUAGCUCCCUCCCGAUCUCCACACCAACUCAGACCGAGGUCUAUGGGAGGUUUGUUUGAUUUUCUUCACUUGGAUGCAUAGUUUCACUGUACAGCGAGCAGACUGGAUUUCAAUUCCCUGAGAUGCUCCUGCCUCGGCCCCCUGAAAGCGGAACUCACAGAUGAGCGUCACCACGCGGGAACCUAUUUGCUGUUUUGAAGGUGUGACACAGUGAUUUAGUUCCUUACCCCGUUCUGCUGCGACGUCCUCAUUCUAAAUGGGUCAGCAGUCUGAAAAGGACACGGCUGUUGAGGGGCACAGCCCCAACCCCAGCUCAGAUCCCCAAACUAUCCACGAUGACACGAAGGCUUGGAGGACGCUCACUAAUGAUUCUAAUCUCCGGAGGGUGCUAGGGGCUUCACCUGCGGCCGUGGACCAUCUCUUCGGGUAGUGUGCGUGCACUGUAGGAGUUGUGCACUUUGCCCAACCCUUCUCUGCCGCAUUUGAAACUACUUUGGGUGCAUUCUGCUGCUACUUUUUCUGUGAGACUUCUCGCUGCUGUUGAAAAAGUAAAAAAGAAGGAAAGUAGGAGGGAUCAAGUUUUCAUUUCGAGGUUCUGAACGUUCUAUUUGACCCUGUCUUCUCUGGGAAUCGUGAAAAGGUGACUCGUUCUGUAACAUAGGUGACAAGGAAAAGGGGGGGUGUGAUUUUGCCAGCUACAGAUAGUUUCUGUGAUCGUGUGAUGUUUGGAAUUCUGGGGACUUUUCAAAGGGGGUUGAAAGGGGUGGAGAAGGGUGGAAGAAAGCAGAGCCCAUAAAGCAGCAAAGCACAGCUACACCCGCCUUACAUCCUGGUCCUCACAGCACUGAGAGAUAAUUUGUGAGUCAUCUUUACUAAGGUUUUCCACUUUGGUGGGUCGGGGGUCCGCUCCCUAUUCCUUGUUCAGCAGUCAUAGGAACCUAGUCUUGGAGCAAAGUUUUAGACUGCACACACCCAGGGCCACAAGGGGCUAGAAGAAAUAAUCAAAAGAUGGACUGUCCUGGAGAUGGGGGGGCUGGUGUGGAGCUGCUUCCAUGCUGUACAGAGCCCUGGGCUCUGGGGUUAAUCCUGAAGCUGGUGUCAUUCCAGGAGGUGGCUCAGGCUCUGGAGUCUUCCCAGGGAUAGCUGAGGUCCUCCACCUGUAGAGGAGACUAAUGUGUUUGUGUGCUAAAGGAAAGUGGAGCCCAUACUGGAACAAGCCCCCAAGCAUGUGUGGGCCACUGCUGAAGGGCAGACGAGUCUCAGCCCUGGAUCUCCAGACAGGCUCGGGAUACUUGUCCCUGGGAACGCGUGCAGGAGAAAGGAGCUGGAUCUCAGAGGCUUUCUAGGCUUAUUGCAUGAAUCUCGCAAACAAGGAACUUUUUGCUGAGUGGCCUUUCAGGAAUUCCCAGGGAACCCACCUGCCACACAGCAUCAGUAUAACCAGCUCUUGGGCUUGGUCCCCAUCCCUCUAGCACUGGUUCUUAGCACAGAUGGAUUCUGUCUUCCUACCCUCCUAACUGUCUCGGCUACCCUCGGUUCUGAACUGUUCAGGGAAAGCUGGAAAGUGAGGAGUAAGACCCCGCUGUGAAGCUCACCCCGUGGUAAGUGGUUCCCAUCCUGGGUUAGGUGCUGAGUUCUUUAAGAAAGCAGGCUGAGCAAGCCUUGGGAAGCAAGCCAGGAAGCAGCACCCCUCCAUGGCCUCUGUAUCAACUCCAGGAUUUUGCCCUGUCUAAAUUCCUGUCCUGACUUCCUUCAGUGAGGAACAGCAAUGUGAAAGUGUAAACCAAGCAAACCUCUCCUCCCUUCAUUCACACACACAGUUUAACUUUUUUUUUAAUUUAUUUUUUUAUUUUUGGUUUUUCAAGACAAGGUUUCUUUUGUGUAGCUCUGGCUGUCCUGAAACUUGCUCUAUAAACCAGGCUGGCCUUGAACUCACAGAGAUCCACCUGCCUCUGCUUCCUGAGUGCUGGGAUUAGAGACAUGCACUACCACCUCCUAGUUUAGAAAUAUUAAAAAAAAAAAAAA
Molecule: long non-coding RNA, 2090 nt
Filed under: Mus musculus (house mouse)
Lineage: Eukaryota; Metazoa; Chordata; Mammalia; Rodentia; Muridae
Description: predicted gene, 17586 (Gm17586)
Source: RNAcentral